This 53-nucleotide transfer RNA is filed under the name Trichonephila clavata. RNAcentral's name for it is "tRNA-Arg". Lineage: Eukaryota; Metazoa; Arthropoda; Arachnida; Araneae; Nephilidae. The record is from RNAcentral.
AGCUUAAUAGCAACUUGAUUUCGACUUAAGUUAUGGAUUAUAUAGUGAAAUUC